This 1252-nucleotide long non-coding RNA is filed under the name Callithrix jacchus (white-tufted-ear marmoset). RNAcentral describes it as "lncRNA (ENSCJAG00000074230.1)". Lineage: Eukaryota; Metazoa; Chordata; Mammalia; Primates; Cebidae. The record is from RNAcentral.
AAUUAAUAAAAUAUUAAGUAAAGUUUAAUUUAAGUUUUAAUUUAAGUUUGUAGCCUUAGCCACAAUCAGCAUCUGAGGGGAUGAGGAAGUGCUGUUUACAACUUAAAAACGUAUUCUUUCUAGGCAUGUUGUUGGUGGUGUGGUCUACAGCCAUAAAUUGCAAGAGCCAAGAUGAUUUGACUGCCUCUUCCUGUCUAUGAUCUGCCUAUUUGGGGGUCCAACUCAACCUCUGAGAAUCAAGUUCUCCCAUGUCCAUUGUAGGCACUUCUGGAACAUAAGAAGGAACAGAUCAGCCUCAUCAAAUCAAAUACUGUCCUCUUCUCACUGGUGACUUCCCACAAUUCUCCAGCACACCCUCGGAAUUCCAAGACAUUCUGACUGGGGCAGCAGGUGGAUGUUAGCACUGACUGAUAUGAUUAGCACUAGGUUUGUGUUAUACCAAGAUGUGUUUUUUUGGAGGGAGCAAUGAUUGAAUUGCAGUUGGAAUUUUUUUAAGUUUUGGGGGGCUUGUCAGACAGCCAAAAUGGAGCUACAAAGCAGCAAUAGGGGUUAGAGUUUAAAAGAAGGAUCUGGACUGACAAGAUAAGGACAAAGGUACUUUCUCAUUGGAUCUUAACUACUCGUCAACGGAAGAGUUGUUACUGUCUCAACUACCUUACAGUCACUGUGUCUUCUUGGAAAAGGACUUAUAAACUCUGUAGAAAUUGCUUGAUAUACAGAGCAGAGAGAAAUAUUUUAGUGGACACCCUACAGAUGCAUUGAGAAAGCACAAGUUCAAUAGUAGAUAUUUGACAUCAAAAUUGGUGGUGCAUGCAAACUCCACUGACUUCAGUAUCAGAAAUCCAGAAAUCAAGUGACACCCUCAUUAUCAGAUACUCUAGGCUGUGGUCCCUGGCCUGUUAGGAACCAGGCAGCACAGGAGGAGGUGAGUGGCGGGCCAGUGAGCAUAUCUUCAUCUGUAUUUACAGUCACUCCCAUCACUCGCAUUACCACCUGAGCUCUGACUUUUGUCAGAUCAGUAGUGGCAUUAGGUCCUCAUAGGAUUGCAAGCCCUAUUGCAACUGCACAUGCCAUGGAUCUAGGUUUUGUGCUCCUUAUGAGAGUUUGAUGCCUGAUGCCUAUCACUGUCUCUCGUCACCCCUAGAUGGGACCACCUAGCUGCAGGAAAACAAGUUCAGGGCUCCCACUGAAUCAACAUUAUAAUGAGUUGUAUAAUUAGUUCAUUAUUGUUAUUAUGUAUUAAUAUUAGAAA